CCUGUGGCUGCAGCACUUUGCAGCUCCUGAGAGUUGGAGCCCCUUCUCCAGCUUUGGCUACAAGUUCAUCUCAGUUCAUAACAGUUGUGUUUUUACCUUUGUUCUGCUUCCCUACGCAUAAGCCCGUGGCCUAGAGGGAGAAAUGCUGCUUGAAUGUGCAGGAAACCUGGGCUAGAUUCCCGUUCUCUUGCUCCUUCAACUACUUUAAAAGGAAAAGGAGUGGGGUUUUCCAGCCACAUGCGUGUCACAUUCAUGCAUUUCGUUAAGGCAGCAUCGCGGGGAACUCACUCUCCAAGCCUCAUUACCUUUUGUCUCCAGUUCCAGGAACGGAGCAGACGGUUGCCAGACCGUGGUAUGCAACGUUUACCCCUUGAAAAUCUUUAAAGAAUUUAAACUUUGCACAGACGUUUUAAGCAGACCCAGCUGCCAAUUCCACAUGAGACAGUCUUAAGAUAAAUGGAUGUUUGUAAUCACCCCGGCGCUGGCGAGGGAAAUGCACCGCCAUUCAGCCAGACAAGCAAGCGAUGAGGAAAGUGUCCCGAGUGUUCACACCAGCGAUGGCUGAGGGAUGCAGAAGCCACGAAUCCUGUGCAGGGACCUCGCACUAACCAUGGACACGCUUCGGAGGGUGGCACUGACCCCGGUGGACAGCGCAGCCAGCCCGCGAGGCUCGGGUCACUCUUCUUGCCCUAAGCCACACUGGAUCAGCUGAUUUCAUUUCUAAUUUCCUCACACAUGUGCUCAAGCACAGCUGUGGAACAUGAGCCGAGUCUGCAGAGGAAAUCCUGAGAUUUACACAGGCCCCAGUGGAUUAUAAAAAACCUGGAAACCGGACAGAUAACACUCAUGUAACAGACUCGAAACAUGCUGAGGAGAAAAAAAAAAUCACAAUAGAUUAAAACCUGCUGUUCUCUGCAAAAUGUAAAA
This is a non-coding RNA of Anas platyrhynchos (mallard), 927 nucleotides long. The record is from RefSeq and is a predicted model, not a curated record. Lineage: Eukaryota; Metazoa; Chordata; Aves; Anseriformes; Anatidae.